UACAGAGGUCUCAAGCGUUGUUCGGAUUCAUUGGGCGUAAAGGGUGCGUAGGCGGCGCGGUAAGUCGGGUGUGAAAUCUCGGGGCUUAACUCCGAAACUGCAUUCGAUACUGCCGUGCUUGAGGACUGGAGAGGAGACUGGAAUUUACGGUGUAGCGGUGAAAUGCGUAGAUAUCGUAAGGAAGACCAGUGGCGAAGGCGGGUUGCUGGGCCGACACUGACGCUGAUGCGCGAAAGCCAGGGGAGCGAACGGG
RNAcentral lists this ribosomal RNA (253 nucleotides) under uncultured bacterium. RNAcentral's name for it is "partial 16S ribosomal RNA". It matches the Rfam family "Bacterial small subunit ribosomal RNA", at positions 524 to 776 of the family's 1533-position model. The record is from RNAcentral.